Molecule: long non-coding RNA, 206 nt
Filed under: Elaeis guineensis (African oil palm)
Lineage: Eukaryota; Viridiplantae; Streptophyta; Magnoliopsida; Arecales; Arecaceae
Description: long non-coding RNA (EGUI_LNC025345)
Source: RNAcentral
CGAUCUACUAUCGACUGACCAAUUAAGAUCGAUCGACCAACUGAUAUUCGACUAACGAUUAUCGAUCAACGACAUACGACUUGAUCGUCGGCAUAAUAGAACUAAUAGCCGACAGUCGCUUACAGAUUCUACUGACAUAUGAUCGGCCAGUCAACUCAGAUAUACCAUAACCAUAACGAAUGGUUACUGUCCGCAUAUCACGGCAC